This 253-nucleotide ribosomal RNA is filed under the name uncultured bacterium. Its description in RNAcentral is "partial 16S ribosomal RNA". It matches the Rfam family "Bacterial small subunit ribosomal RNA", at positions 524 to 776 of the family's 1533-position model. The record is from RNAcentral.
UACGUAGGCAGCAAGCGUUGUUCGGAGUUACUGGGCGUAAAGGGUGUGUAGGCGGUUGUUUAAGUUUGGUGUGAAAUCUCCCGGCUCAACCGGGAGGGUGCGCCGAAUACUGAAUAACUAGAGUGCGGGAGAGGAAAGUGGAAUUCCUGGUGUAGCGGUGAAAUGCGUAGAGAUCAGGAAGAACAUCGGUGGCGAAGGCGCUCUGCUGGACCAUAACUGACACUCAGGGACGAAAGCUAGGGGAGCGAAUGGG